Molecule: long non-coding RNA, 2279 nt
Organism: Parus major (Great Tit)
Lineage: Eukaryota; Metazoa; Chordata; Aves; Passeriformes; Paridae
Source: Ensembl
GUCUUGCUGUCUGUGGGAAUUUUUCCUUACUAGAUUUCAUUUUUGAGAAGUUUUCUUAAGGCAAAUGGACUUUACAAAUCUUAGUCCACUGAAACUGAGCUGUCUUAAAAGUCAAAUCUUCUCUUUUGGCAAAAUAUAAUAAAUAUAAUGCAUGACAUGAUGUGGCAUUACAUAACAUAGCAUAACAGUGGUAUUUCUAAAUGAGUAGAGUUCCAGGUUAAAAUUCAAGGCAAGCUGUGUAUAAUAAAAUAUUUGAUCCAUUUAUAGCCUAAAUUCCUUAGGAAAAGAUAAAACUUGUGAGAAGAAAAAUACCUUCUUUUUUAUAUGACAUAAUGGGACAUGGAAAGAUUUGGGUCACAAUUUCAAUAAUUCUGAAAUCCUGUAUAGACUGUGGGACAGAAGACUGGACUUUGAAAGAUGCUUAGCUGUAUUGGCCCUGAGCUAUUCCAAAUAUUUGAUCAUAAGAACUGGAGCAAGAGCAGGUUGAUGCUGUGCUCACUUGGAAACCUGUCACCAGUGAUGUCACUAGCAAUGGAAAAUAGAGAAGCUGUUUUGAAAAUCUGUUUCACUGCAGGAAAUAAACAUGGAUGCUGACAUUUAACCCAGUGUCUAAGCAAAACAUCUUUCUGGCUUUUUGUAAGUAUUCUUGAUAGACAGAGGGGUAAAGGGGAAGGAAACAGAAUGACUGAAAAGUGAUAGAGAGGAAUAAGGGCAGCAGGAUAGCAGGUGUAGGAAGAAAAUGCCAUGGACAGUACUUUGAUGGCAGUGAAAGAUGCAGCCUAUCACAAUCCAUGUCAGAAGUAGCUUGAGAUGUUGGAAGCAGUAAGAAAUGGGAAUUAUUUUUCCCACAGGUGUUGCUGUUGAGCAGAAAUUGGAAGGAAACUGUAAAGGUGAAUAGACUGAGAAAAUGGUCCUGCCCAUCAUCACAGGAAACCAUAAACCUCACCACUGUGGGACAGGAGUGACCAGCCAUGACCAUUUUUGCUACCUUAGGAACAUCCCCAUUCACUCUAUUUUUCAGAUAAGAAACAGAAAGAAUGACUUACUAGGGAACCGAGUUAAAAACAAAAGAAGUGAAGAUUGGUCAUCUCUGCAGAGGAAAUUACAAGAAAAAACUAUUGAUGCGUCUUCCUGACAGGUCUUUCUCAGAAGAAACAGCUGCAUAAUGUGGAAUCAGUUGUGUGAAAUUCUGUUGGCAAGGCCUUUGACUUUCAACUUCUGCUGGAUCCAGCUGAGUGAUCAAAGAGAGAACUUUUGCAGGUAUUUGUCUUCACCUUACUAAUCUCACCUUAAUGAGAUGCAAAUUAUUCCAGAAUAAUAAUUUCAAGAAACACUUGUGUUCCUUCUGAGGAAAUGCUAUGAGGGUGAUCUGGAAUGCCAGGAGUUUGGUGUUGAGUGGGCCCAUUAAUCCUACUGCAUCCAAGUCCAGUGUUUUAGUUAAAUUUUAAGCAAGCUAGAGACUUUAUGGUAAAUGCAGGGUAUUUUAAGACACAUUUAAGACUACACUAGAUACACUACUCUGAAGAUACACUAGAUGUCUGUUUUGACAUAGUUUUCAUCUCUCAAAACCAGCAUCUCAAUUGUUUGGUUAAGUAUCCUGUAGAUGUCAAAGAACAUUGCUGAAUCUAGAAAGGAAGGUCUGGUCUUGAUCUAAGCAUCUCUGCCUUAUAAUGAGGUACUGUCUAAUAGCCUUCAUAGCAAACAGUUAAUACAGACACGUGCUAAAAGGGGCACUUGUCCCUGUUAAGAGGAGUGAAAAGUGCCCUCCUCAUUCCCAUAACUAAAGGCCAGAUUCCUCACUGAAUUUCAAGCAACCUGUCCUGGCAUCUGUGGCUCUUGUGAUCAUGACUUUGGGGGUUACAGAAUCACAGUUCCCUUCUUGUCAAAGCCAGAAGUAGGAGGUGGUCCCUGUGUCAGUCCAUGUACCCUAAAUGAUCUUAGCACUGAAGAGUCUCAAAGCUGGUUCAUGGACAUUACAAAUUUGUUCUCCUCAGCACACAGAGGAAGAACACAAUAUUUUAGAGGUGUGGAAGUGAAGCACAGCUGUGAAUAUUUUAAGAUGUAUAACAUUAACAGAUAGGGGUAGAUCUUUAAAAGCCUUCAGUACGGGUCAGUUUGUAGCAUUUUCAGUGAGACUGACAGCUGAGUUUCCCCUUGAAAAGUCUGUUUUUAGUAUCUAAAGAAGCCAGAAGAACUGAUCUUAUUUUUCUGAGAACUUAAUCCAAGUAUUUGCUCAAGAUUAUGAAAUAAAUAUGUGGUCCAGUUGGUAAAUUAAUCCA